AGAGUUUGAUCCUGGCUCAGGAUGAACGCUAGCGGCAGGCCUAACACAUGCAAGUCGAGGGGUAGCAGGAAAGCUUGCUUUCGCUGACGACCGGCGCACGGGUGCGUAACGCGUAUGCAACCUACCUUACACUGGAGAAUAGCCCUUGGAAACGAGGAUUAAUGCUCCAUGGUAUCAUUUUUUCGCAUGUUGAAAUGAUUAAAGAAUUUCGGUGUAAGAUGGGCAUGCGUCCCAUUAGCUAGUUGGUGAGGUAACGGCUCACCAAGGCGACGACGGGUAGGGGGCCUGAGAGGGUGGUCCCCCACACUGGUACUGAGACACGGACCAGACUCCUACGGGAGGCAGCAGUGAGGAAUAUUGGUCAAUGGAGGCAACUCUGAACCAGCCAUGCCGCGUGAAGGAUGACGGCCCUAUGGGUUGUAAACUUCUUUUGAAUAGGAAGAAACUUAUCUACGUGUAGAUAACUGACGGUACUAUUAGAAUAAGGAUCGGCUAACUCCGUGCCAGCAGCCGCGGUAAUACGGAGGAUCCAAGCGUUAUCCGGAUUCAUUGGGUUUAAAGGGUCCGUAGGCGGGUCUUUAAGUCAGUGGUGAAAGCCGACAGCUCAACUGUCGAACUGCCAUUGAUACUGGAGACCUUGAGUACAAAUGAAGUAGGCGGAAUGAGUCAUGUAGCGGUGAAAUGCAUAGAUAUGACUCAGAACACCGAUUGCGAAGGCAGCUUACUAACAUGUAACUGACGCUGAGGGACGAAAGCGUGGGGAGCGAACAGGAUUAGAUACCCUGGUAGUCCACGCCGUAAACGAUCAUCACUCGCUGUUGGCGAUAUACUGUCAGCGGCCAAGCGAAAGUAUUAAGUGAUGCACCUGGGGAGUACGCCGGCAACGGUGAAACUCAAAGGAAUUGACGG
RNAcentral lists this ribosomal RNA (909 nucleotides) under uncultured marine bacterium. RNAcentral describes it as "bacterial SSU rRNA". It matches the Rfam family "Bacterial small subunit ribosomal RNA", at positions 8 to 916 of the family's 1533-position model. The record is from RNAcentral.